RNAcentral lists this ribosomal RNA (777 nucleotides) under Acaulospora cf. laevis BEG26. RNAcentral describes it as "eukaryotic LSU rRNA". It matches the Rfam family "Eukaryotic large subunit ribosomal RNA", at positions 1 to 669 of the family's 3401-position model. The record is from RNAcentral. Lineage: Eukaryota; Fungi; Glomeromycota; Glomeromycetes; Diversisporales; Acaulosporaceae.
ACCUCAAGUCAAGUGAGAAUACCCGCUGAACUUAAGCAUAUCAAUAAGCGGAGGAAAAGAAACUAACAAGGAUUCCCUCAGUAACGGCGAGUGAACCGGGAAAAGCUCAAAUUUAAAAUCGCUUGGGUUUACCUGAGUGAGUUGUAAUUUGAAGAGAGUGUUUCGACUUUUCGGGUUUGAUCCAAAUCCUUUGGGAUGAGGUAUCAUAGAGGGUGAGAAUCCCGUUCAUGAUUAAACCGGAGUUGUCAAUUAAUUCAUUUUCUAAGAGUCGAGUUGUUUGGGAUUGCAGCUCAAAAUGGGUGGUAAAUUUCACCUAAGGCUAAAUAUCUGCAAGAGACCGAUAGCGAACAAGUACCGUGAGGGAAAGAUGAAAAGAACUUUGAAAAGAGAGUUAAAAAGUGCGUGAAUUUGUUGAAAGGGAAACGAUUGAAGUCAGUCAUGCUAGCGAGGAAUCAACUUGGUGGUGUGAGUCUCUUAUCUCCUCCGUGUGCACUUCCUCGUCUGGCAGGUUAGCAUCAAUUUUGAUUGUCAUCAAAUAAUUGGGGUAAUGUGGCUUCGCUUCGGUGGAGUGUUAUAGACCCUGGUGGAUGUGGCGAUUGGGAUUGAGGAUUGCAGCGGAUGCCUCUCGGCUAGUCAUCCGAUUCCUGGCUGUCACCUCGCUUUCGACAGCUUGCUGACGAUCGUGGGACUCGGCGGUCUAGGUGUCGGUCUGAUCUUAAAUUCGCUAAGGAUGCUGACGUAAUGGCUUUAAACGACCCGUCUUGAAACACGGACCAA